Molecule: ribosomal RNA, 253 nt
Filed under: uncultured bacterium
Lineage: Bacteria
Description: partial 16S ribosomal RNA
Rfam family: Bacterial small subunit ribosomal RNA
Source: RNAcentral
UACGGAGGGUGCAAGCGUUGUCCGGAAUCAUUGGGCGUAAAGAGCGCGUAGGCGGCCCGGUAAGUCCGCUGUAAAAGUCCAGGGCUCAACCCUGGAAAGCCGGUGGAUACUGUCGGGCUCGAGUCCGGAAGAGGCGAGUGGAAUUCCUGGUGUAGCGGUGGAAUGCGCAGAUAUCAGGAGGAACACCAAUGGCGAAGGCAGCUCGCUGGGACGGUACUGACGCUGAGGCGCGAAAGCGUGGGGAGCAAACAGG